CUCUGUCGUUAUGCCAACACAGAUUCCAUUCCCCAGGACUUCCAUGGCAAUGACAUAUGGACAUCUCACUUUUCCUGGUGCUGAAUUGUGUGCGGUGGUGGUGCUCAGGACCUCAACUAUUGGGCUAGUGGAAAGCCGUCAAGGAGGAACUCCGAGGAGUCCAGCGGAUGGAUGGUGAUCUCCGUGGAAGAGAAGCUCUCCAGAGAUGGAACAGCUGGAUAAGGUGCUAUGGGACAUCUCAUCACUCCAGUUGGUAGGAUAAAGGCAAAGGCACCAGAACCAGCA
Long non-coding RNA from Mauremys reevesii (Reeves's turtle), 285 nucleotides. RefSeq lists it as uncharacterized. Lineage: Eukaryota; Metazoa; Chordata; Testudines; Geoemydidae. The record is from RefSeq and is a predicted model, not a curated record. The transcript is spliced from 3 exons.